UUAUGCAAGAGUAUGUGAUUUCAUUGGUGGUUUUAUGCGCGUUUGCGUGCGUAUUAACUCGAUCCGUCUCUCCGCAGAGUAAGUCAGUGUCGUCAACAGACAGCCAGGCGGUAGAGGAGCGCCAGGGUCCGUCGGGCGUCUACCCCACGCAGAGCAGCAGCGACGUCAAGAGACGACGCUGCGACGACAAAGAUUGCCCUCCGCAUUACGACAGUGAUGGUGAGAAGAGUGAAGACAACCUAGUGGUGGACGUGUCUAAUGAGGACCCGUCCUCUCCCGUGGGCAGUACCCCCCGCUCUCCUCAUGGUAAUGGCUUGGACAGAGUCCCCACGCUGAGGAAGGAGCUGCCCCGGUCCCCUUCGCCUACUGCCCCCAGCCCCCCUCUGGGCAAGGGCAAGGAUCCAGCACAGGUCCAGCCCAGCAUAGCCCCCAAACA
Long non-coding RNA from Electrophorus electricus (electric eel), 436 nucleotides. NCBI's taxonomy places the organism in Eukaryota, Metazoa, Chordata, Actinopteri, Gymnotiformes, Gymnotidae. The record is from Ensembl.